GACGAACGCUGGCGGCGUGCUUAACACAUGCAAGUCGAACGGUGAAGCGCCUUCCUUUUUGGUGGGUGUGGAUGAGUGGCGAACGGGUGAGUAACACGUGAGUAACCUGCCCCCUUCUUCUGGAUAACCGCAUGAAAGUGUGGCUAAUACGGGAUAUUCUGGGUCUGUCGCAUGAUGGGUCUGGGAAAGAUAUUGUUUCGGUGGGGGAUGGGCUCGCGGCCUAUCAGCUUGUUGGUGGGGUGAUGGCCUACCAAGGCGGUGACGGGUAGCCGGCCUGAGAGGGUGGACGGUCACAAUGGGACUGAGACACGGCCCAGACUCCUACGGGAGGCAGCAGUGGGGAAUAUUGCACAAUGGGCGCAAGCCUGAUGCAGCGACGCCGCGUGAGGGAUGGAGGCCUUCGGGUUGUGAACCUCUUUCGCAAGUGAAGCAGGCCUGCCUCGUUUGUGGGUGGGUUGACGGUAGCUGGAUAAGAAGCGCCGGCUAACUACGUG
Molecule: ribosomal RNA, 494 nt
Filed under: uncultured bacterium
Lineage: Bacteria
Description: partial 16S ribosomal RNA
Rfam family: Bacterial small subunit ribosomal RNA
Source: RNAcentral